RNAcentral lists this ribosomal RNA (497 nucleotides) under uncultured bacterium. RNAcentral describes it as "partial 16S ribosomal RNA". It matches the Rfam family "Bacterial small subunit ribosomal RNA", at positions 28 to 507 of the family's 1533-position model. The record is from RNAcentral.
GAUGAACGCUGGCGGCGUGCCUAAUACAUGCAAGUCGAGCGAACAGAUAAGGAGCUUGCUCCUUUGACGUUAGCGGCGGACGGGUGAGUAACACGUGGGUAACCUACCUAUAAGACUGGGAUAACUUCGGGAAACCGGAGCUAAUACCGGAUAAUAUUUCGAACCGCAUGGUUCGAUAGUGAAAGAUGGUUUUGCUAUCACUUAUAGAUGGACCCGCGCCGUAUUAGCUAGUUGGUAAGGUAACGGCUUACCAAGGCGACGAUACGUAGCCGACCUGAGAGGGUGAUCGGCCACACUGGAACUGAGACACGGUCCAGACUCCUACGGGAGGCAGCAGUAGGGAAUCUUCCGCAAUGGGCGAAAGCCUGACGGAGCAACGCCGCGUGAGUGAUGAAGGUCUUCGGAUCGUAAAACUCUGUUAUUAGGGAAGAACAUACGUGUAGGUAACUGUGCACGUCUUGACGGUACCUAAUCAGAAAGCCACGGCUAACUACGUG